GGCUGGAAGCGAGAAGGAAGCGGGAAGGUGGAAGAGAUCGGAAUAGUUUCAAACAAGGCCCGAUUCUCCUGAGGUCAGCUCGAUUUGCCCUCUAAUCCUGGGCGACGCAGGGUUCAAGGAUCUUCUGAAUCUCAUCCCAUUGUAGGAACUGCUGCUGUACUCAGAGAAUGUUGUUCAGAAGGGGAGACAGGCAAUAAAUAUAAGAUGAAGUUAUGAGGAGAGAAGCUAUUCAUAGCUAAAACUCUAGCUAAAAUGGCUAUUAUUUAUUGCACGGAACUGAAAUCGGAUGAAGUCGAGAAACCCAACGUACAAACCCAGAAGCUGAGAUACUACACAAGCGGACGUAUUUCAAGGACAAAUCCAAAGAAUCAAACUUGGUCUGUGACUAGAAUGUACACCAUCGUCUCUCCUGAGUCUCCAGCUUGCUGACUGCAGAUCUUGGGACUUGCCAGCCUUAAUAAUCACGUCAACAGCCAGUGAAAACCUGAGGUCCACCAACAGCCAUGUGAGUGAGCGUGGGAUUGGAGCUUCCCUAGUCAAGCCUUGAAACGACAGCGGCCUCUGACCUCCUGAUGGAAGCCUUGUGAAAGACUCAGUGCCAGAGAACCCAACUCAGCUGUGCCUGGAUUACUGACUCACAGAAGACCUUUGUACCAGCCAGACACUUUCCCUGGUACACUCUUCCCAGGGCUCUUUCCUCAUCAACAAGAUGUCAGCUGAAAUGCUAGCUCCUCAGAGAGACUUUCACCAGCCACCUACUUAAAGCUGACUUAUAGAAAGGAGAUAAAUUAGACUCUCUACAGGGAGCUGCAGUAUUGUGGCAGAGCCCAGGGAUGGAGUCAGACGAUGAAUGUCAAAUUCUAAAUUCUCCACUUGAAAAUCACCUGACCUUGGAGAAUAAGGAUAGUACUCGUGCCCUGGAAACCUUGUGAGAUUACAGAGACCACGUGGAAAGGUAUCACCAAGUCCUACUCUGUGCUUUCCAGGUGGAACCCUUAAGGCCUGAUAUUCAGAAACAGUAUGCUCCAGGUUUCCCUGAGUUUCCUGGCUCCUGGUUCCUGGUUGGGAAUCUUUCCACUCCUUCACAAUGUCCCAACUCUUUUCAGCCAUUUUGGUCUUUUCUGUCUUCUUCAACCAGUCAGUCAGCAUGUACCCAGGAGGGGCUCCAGCCUGCCAGGUAUACUUACUGUCAGAGACCCCAUCACACAUCACCAAAACAUGAUAUGUUUUGGUGCUCACAUCAAAUUAAAAAAAAAAAAAAGUAUAUAACUAUAUGAAGAUUGGAUUGCCUUACCCCUCAA
Molecule: long non-coding RNA, 1301 nt
Organism: Prionailurus viverrinus (fishing cat)
Lineage: Eukaryota; Metazoa; Chordata; Mammalia; Carnivora; Felidae
Exons: 9
Source: RefSeq, a predicted model, not a curated record